Molecule: long non-coding RNA, 778 nt
Filed under: Sorghum bicolor (sorghum)
Lineage: Eukaryota; Viridiplantae; Streptophyta; Magnoliopsida; Poales; Poaceae
Description: long non-coding RNA (SBIC_LNC015033)
Source: RNAcentral
UACAAAGUUUUGAUUCCUUUCACACUACUACAGAAAAAAUUAUGGAGGCAGACCUUUUAGAUUUUUGGAGGCAGAACCCCAACUACCUCCAACAAAAGGCCUCUGUUAAUGCAUAAACUAUGGAGGCGAGCAAAAUACCCACCUCGAUCGAUCAGAAAAAACCAAAAAAGAAAAGCCCAGCGAGCCAGCCUGUCGAGCCCAUCCAGGCACUGCUGGCCGGACCUGCACCGCCGGUGCGCUCGAAUGCUGGAUCUACACCACCGCCACGCCCGCUAGACGGAUCCAGAAGCUGCUCAUCGGAUUCGGCCAUCCGUUUGCCGGAUCGGGUUGCCUGUGCCUGGAUCUACUGCCCCAUCGACAAAAUCCACCGCCACCGUGCCAUGGGGGAGACCAGGAGAGGAAGCAAGCCGCCGCUGGAGAAGCCACCCGUCCGUCGUCGUCACCGUAGAUCUACGACAAAGAAAGGAGAGGUGAAGGGCUGCCCUAGAUCUGAGAGAAGGGAUAGAGAGAGAGAGAGAGAAAGAGAGAGAGGACGAGGGCAUACCAUGGCCUUCUUGAGGCAGAGCCACCCUGCUGCCGCCUGAUCUCGGAGUUGAGGGAGGGUGAACCGCCUGCACCGCCUGAUCUCAGAGGGAGGGGGGAGGGAGAGCCGUCGGAGGGAGGGAUGGGCGCCACCGGCGGGAGGGGGAGGCCAGCCUCCCUUGGCCUACGUGCAACGCUCGGUGGGGCCACGCGUGACGCGACGCUAGGUGGAAAGGCGCCACCUUUUUUCUGAGGG